RNAcentral lists this ribosomal RNA (428 nucleotides) under Verrucomicrobiota bacterium. RNAcentral describes it as "Verrucomicrobia bacterium partial 16S ribosomal RNA". It matches the Rfam family "Bacterial small subunit ribosomal RNA", at positions 355 to 776 of the family's 1533-position model. Lineage: Bacteria; Pseudomonadati; Verrucomicrobiota. The record is from RNAcentral.
UAGGGAAUCUUCCGCAAUGGACGAAAGUCUGACGGAGCAACGCCGCGUGAGUGAAGAAGGAUUUCGGUUCGUAAAACUCUGUUGUUAGGGAAGAAAAAAUGUAUAGUAACUAUAUACAAAAGAGACGGUACCUAACCAGAAAGCCACGGCUAACUACGUGCCAGCAGCCGCGGUAAUACGUAUGGGGCGAGCGUUGUCCGGAAUUAUUGGGCGUAAAGGGUACGUAGGCGGUCUAUUAAGUCAGGUGUGAAAGCGUGAGGCUUAACCUCAUUAAGCACUUGAAACUGAUAGACUUGAGUGAAGGAUAGGAAAGUGGAAUUCCUAGUGUAGCGGUGAAAUGCGUAGAUAUUAGGAGGAAUACCGGUGGCGAAGGCGACUUUCUGGACUUUUACUGACGCUCAGGUACGAAAGCGUGGGGAGCAAACAGG